UGCGGUCCAGAGGCGGACGGGUGAGUGAGGUUUUGGUCACCUAACCGACAGAGGGGGACAACCCGGGGAAACGUUGGCUAAUCCCGCACGCGGCCGCGCGGCCGUGGGGAGGGUCCGUCGGGCCUUGCUCGCCCUCGGAUGAGCCGGAGUACAAUUAGCUAGUCGGUGGGGUAAUGGCCCACCGGGGCGACGAGGAAAAGCCGGGCUGAGAGGGUGACCCGCCACAAUCGCACUGAGACACGGCCCCCACUCCUACGGGAGGCAGAAGUUCGGAAUGUUCCGCAAUGGGCGCAAGCCUGACGCAGCGGCGCCGCCUGAAGGAAGAAGGCACGCGGGCUGAAAAGUGCAUGAAGCGCGGACGAAGCGGCCGAUGCGCGCACCGUGACCGAUUGACGCUACCCGGCGCACUAGCGCCGGCCAACUCCGCUGCCAGCAGCCGCGGUAACACCGCGGGCGCCAGCGUUACCCGCAAGCNCUAAACCGGAGGCGCCCGUAGGGGGCCCGAAGCAUCGCAAGACGGAACCCCGACCCCAAAAAACCGGAGGAGGGCGAAGGAUACGNACAGGGCCAACGGCCGGAGAGAGGGGUGG
This 590-nucleotide ribosomal RNA is filed under the name uncultured Thermus sp. Its description in RNAcentral is "bacterial SSU rRNA". The stretch from base 1 to 468 matches the Rfam family "Bacterial small subunit ribosomal RNA", at positions 86 to 546 of the family's 1533-position model. The record is from RNAcentral. Lineage: Bacteria; Thermotogati; Deinococcota; Deinococci; Thermales; Thermaceae.